CCUACGGGGGGCAGCAGUGAGGAAUAUUGGUCAAUGGACGAGAGUCUGAACCAGCCAAGUAGCGUGAAGGAUGACUGCCCUAUGGGUUGUAAACUUCUUUUAUAUGGGAAUAAAACGUUCCACGUGUGGGAUUUUGUAUGUACCAUAUGAAUAAGGAUCGGCUAACUCCGUGCCAGCAGCCGCGGUAAUACGGAGGAUCCGAGCGUUAUCCGGAUUUAUUGGGUUUAAAGGGAGCGUAGGUGGAUUGUUAAGUCAGUUGUGAAAGUUUGCGGCGCAACCGUAAAAUUGCAGUUGAAACUGGCAGUCUUGAGUACAGUAGAGGUGGGCGGAAUUCGUGGUGUAGCGGUGAAAUGCUUAGAUAUCACGAAGAACUCCGAUUGCGAAGGCAGUUCACUGGACUGCAACUGACACUGAGGCUCGAAAGUGUGGGUAUCAAACAGGAUUAGAUACCCCGGUAGUC
This 460-nucleotide ribosomal RNA is filed under the name uncultured bacterium. RNAcentral's name for it is "partial 16S ribosomal RNA". It matches the Rfam family "Bacterial small subunit ribosomal RNA", at positions 338 to 795 of the family's 1533-position model. The record is from RNAcentral.